CAGCCGCCACGGUAAAACGAAGGGUGCAAGCGUUAAUCGGAAUUACUGGGCGUAAAGCGUGCGUAGGCGGUGAGUUAAGUCUGCUGUGAAAUCCCCGGGCUCAACCUGGGAAUGGCAGUGGAUACUGGCUCGCUAGAGUGUGUCAGAGGAUGGUGGAAUUCCCGGUGUAGCGGUGAAAUGCGUAGAGAUCGGGAGGAACAUCAGUGGCGAAGGCGGCCAUCUGGGACAACACUGACGCUGAGGCACGAAAGCGUGGGGAGCGAACAGGAUUAGAUACCCCAGUAGUCCCUGUCUCUUAUAC
RNAcentral lists this ribosomal RNA (301 nucleotides) under uncultured bacterium. RNAcentral describes it as "partial 16S ribosomal RNA". It matches the Rfam family "Bacterial small subunit ribosomal RNA", at positions 509 to 807 of the family's 1533-position model. The record is from RNAcentral.